GAAUUUUAUAAAUGUUUUAUUAAGGUAGCUUAAUAUUAAUAUUUAUUUGGUUGGGGGGACAUUUAAAUUAAUAUAACUUUAAAUUAAUUAAUUACAUUAAUUAAUGGGGUGUUAAUUUUAUUAAUGAUUGAGAUUAUGUUUAUAGAAGAUUAAAUUACCUUAGGGAUAACAGCAUUAUAUUUUUGGAGAGUUCUUAUUGAUAAAAAUGUUUGU
Molecule: ribosomal RNA, 213 nt
Filed under: Eciton burchellii
Lineage: Eukaryota; Metazoa; Arthropoda; Insecta; Hymenoptera; Formicidae
Description: partial large subunit ribosomal RNA
Source: RNAcentral